GACGAACGCUGGCGGCGUGCUUAACACAUGCAAGUCGAACGGAAAGGCCCUGCUUUUGUGGGGUGCUCGAGUGGCGAACGGGUGAGUAACACGUGAGUAACCUGCCCUUGACUUUGGGAUAACUUCAGGAAACUGGGGCUAAUACCGGAUAGGAGCUCCUGCUGCAUGGUGGGGGGUGGAAAUUUUCGGCGGUUGGGGAUGGACUCGCGGCUUAUCAGCUUGUUGGUGGGGUAGUGGCUUACCAAGCCUUUGACGGGUAGCCGGCCUGAGAGGGUGACCGGCCACAUUGGGACUGAGAUACGGCCCAGACUCCUACGGGAGGCAGCAGUGGGGAAUAUUGCACAGUGGGAGGAAGCCUGAUGAAGCAACGCCGCGUGCGGGAUGACGGCCUUCGGGUUGUAAAACGCUUUCGCCUGUGACGAAGCGUGAGUGACGGUAAUGGGUAAAGAAGCACCGGCUAACUACGUG
This 468-nucleotide ribosomal RNA is filed under the name uncultured bacterium. Its description in RNAcentral is "partial 16S ribosomal RNA". It matches the Rfam family "Bacterial small subunit ribosomal RNA", at positions 28 to 507 of the family's 1533-position model. The record is from RNAcentral.